AACGGACGCUGGCGGCAGGCUUAACACAUGCAAGUCGAACGGGUGUAGCAAUACAUCAGUGGCGCACGGGUGAGUAACGCGUGGGAAUAUGCCCUUUGGUACGGAACAACCUCGGGACACUGAGGCUAAUACCGUAUAAUAUCUGCGGAUCAAAGAUUUAUCGCCAAAGGAUUAGCCCGCGUUGGAUUAGGUAGUUGGGGAGGUAACGGCUCACCAAGCCGACGAUCCAUAGCUGUUCUGAGAGGAUAAUCAGCCACACUGGGACUGAGACACGGCCCAGACUCCUACGGGAGGCAGCAGUGAGGAAUAUUGGACAAUGGAGGAAACUCUGAUCCAGCCAUGCCGCGUGAGUGAUGAAGGCCUUCGGGUUGUAAAGCUCUUUUACCCCUGACGAUAAUGACGGUAAGGGGAGAAAAAGCCACGGCUAACUUCGUGCCAGCAGCCGCCGCCG
Molecule: ribosomal RNA, 451 nt
Filed under: uncultured bacterium
Lineage: Bacteria
Description: partial 16S ribosomal RNA
Rfam family: Bacterial small subunit ribosomal RNA
Source: RNAcentral